UGGGGAAUCUUCCGCAAUGGACGAAAGUCUGACGGAGCAACGCCGCGUGAGUGAUGACGGCCUUCGGGUUGUAAAGCUCUGUUAAUCGGGACGAAUGGUUCUUGUGCGAAUAGUGCAAGGAUUUGACGGUACCGGAAUAGAAAGCCACGGCUAACUACGUGCCAGCAGCCGCGGUAAUACGUAGGUGGCAAGCGUUUUCCGGAAUUAUUGGGCGUAAAGCGCGCGCAGGCGGAUUGGUCAGUCUGUCUUAAAAGUUCGGGGCUUAACCCCGUGAUGGGAUGGAAACUGCCAAUCUAGAGUAUCGGAGAGGAAAGUGGAAUUCCUAGUGUAGCGGUGAAAUGCGUAGAUAUUAGGAAGAACACCAGUGGCGAAGGCGACUUUCUGGACGAAAACUGACGCUGAGGCGCGAAAGCCAGGGGAGCGAACGGG
This 429-nucleotide ribosomal RNA is filed under the name bacterium. Its description in RNAcentral is "partial 16S ribosomal RNA". It matches the Rfam family "Bacterial small subunit ribosomal RNA", at positions 355 to 776 of the family's 1533-position model. The record is from RNAcentral.